Molecule: ribosomal RNA, 253 nt
Filed under: uncultured bacterium
Lineage: Bacteria
Description: partial 16S ribosomal RNA
Rfam family: Bacterial small subunit ribosomal RNA
Source: RNAcentral
UACGUAGGGUGCAAGCGUUAAUCGGAAUUACUGGGCGUAAAGCGUGCGCAGGCGGUGAUGUAAGACAGUUGUGAAAUCCCCGGGCUCAACCUGGGAACUGCAUCUGUGACUGCAUCGCUGGAGUGCGGCAGAGGGGGAUGGGAUUCCGCGUGUAGCAGUGAAAUACGUAGAUAUGCGGAGGAACACCGAUGGCGAAGGCAAUCCCCUGGGCCUGCACUGACGCUCAUGCACGAAAGCGUGGGGAGCAAACAGG